CUCAACAGUAAAUGUACAUAGUUUUUCUUCCUGUGAAUCAACAUAAACUCCAAAUUAUGGAAGAUUGAGGAAAUUUCUUGUAGGAUUUAGGCCCUAACCUUGAGCUAAGAGUGACAUUGGAGCUGAUGUAAUGACUGUGUCACUAACGUUUAAUUUAAAGUAGAAACCGUAAUAAAACUCUUUACUUUUCGGUCAGUUACAUGGUACCAACCCCCUGUUUUGGACUUAUUUGAGGAAUCAGUCUCUAUCAUUAAGGUCCCAUUUCUAAAGAAACAAUUCAAAUGAUCCACAAGCACUUCUUUUUGAAAAUUCACUAAAAAGGUUAAACAUUUGCCUCUUGUUUUCUUCGUAAAAGAAGUUGCCAGAGUAGAAAAGUAGAAACUAAAUCACAUUUUUUAUGAUCA
Molecule: long non-coding RNA, 404 nt
Organism: Telopea speciosissima
Lineage: Eukaryota; Viridiplantae; Streptophyta; Magnoliopsida; Proteales; Proteaceae
Exons: 3
Source: RefSeq, a predicted model, not a curated record